GAAUCUUCCACAAUGGGCGAAAGCCUGAUGGAGCGACACCGCGUGAGGGACGACGGUCCUAGGAUUGUAAACCUCUAAAAGGGGGACGAUGAUGACGGUACCCCUUGAGAAGCACCGGCUAACUCCGUGCCAGCAGCCGCGGUAAUACGGAGGGUGCAAGCGUUAUCCGGAAUCACUGGGCGUAAAGGGCGCGUAGGCGGUUUGUUAAGUCCGAUGUUAAAGACCGAGGCUCAACCUCGACACGGCGUUGGAUACCGACAAGCUUGACGGCUGGAGAGGCGAGUGGAAUUGCCAGUGUAGCGGUGGAAUGCGUAGAUACUGGUAGGAACACCCAUUGCGAAGGCAGCUCGCUGGACAGCACGUGACGCUGAGGCGCGAAAGUGUGGGGAGCAAACCGG
Molecule: ribosomal RNA, 398 nt
Filed under: uncultured bacterium
Lineage: Bacteria
Description: bacterial SSU rRNA
Rfam family: Bacterial small subunit ribosomal RNA
Source: RNAcentral